This is an RNA transcript of Melanaphis sacchari, 2376 nucleotides long. It is a transcript of the gene named acetyl-coenzyme A transporter 1-like, with no coding region annotated. The transcript has 12 exons. The record is from RefSeq and is a predicted model, not a curated record. NCBI's taxonomy places the organism in Eukaryota, Metazoa, Arthropoda, Insecta, Hemiptera, Aphididae.
CGGCAGUUCUCCGUGAUUAUUAUCUCGCGCAUCCGAAUUUCCAGACAGUCCUACAUUUUGUUAAACUGUGUAUUGUAUUAUUUUGAACAAUCGAUUUUCUUGUGGAUUGAUCAUGAAUAAACCUAAUAAAAAUGAAUGUGAUUCCGAGGAAGCUGAAAAUCUACAAAUCCAAAAAUCUACCAUGACAAACAUUCCCAAUCUGAAAGGAGAUUGGUUAAAUUUUUACUUGUUAUUAUUGUUUUACAUUCUGCAAGGAUUUCCAGUAGGCUUAUCCGGUAGUCUUCCAAUCAUUUUACAGAGUAGAAAAAUGGUGACUUAUAAAGAGCAGGCUCUAUUUAGUAUUGUGGUUUGGCCUUAUGCAGUGAAAGUUUUAUUUGCUCCAUUAGUGGAUUCAUUAUAUUCAAAACGGAUUGGUAGAAGAAAAUCAUGGAUGAUGCCUAUUCAAUUUUUAAUUGGGAUGAUUUUAAUGUAUACGGCAAACAAUAUUGAUGAUUGGUUACCUGAAUCAGGUAAAUCAAACCUUACUAUGAUCGCAUGUGUGAUGUUCGCCAUUAAUGUCUUGACUGCAAUUCAAGAUGUUGUUGUUGAUGGUUGGUCGUUAACUAUAUUAAAAAAAAAUAACGUGGGUUAUGCUUCUAUGUGCAAUUCUACAGGAUUACCAAUUGGAAUGUUUAUUGGUUCAGUUGGCCCGAUUUUACUGGUAUCCGAAGAUUUCAGCAAUAAAUAUUUUCGAGCUAUACCUAACACAGGUGGUUUAAUAACAUUAAAAAGUUUUAUGUAUUUUUGGAGUAUUAUAUUUUUGUUGAUUACAACAUUGAUUGGUUUAUUUAAAAAAGAGAAGGAUAAUAGUUUUGAAUUGGACUACAAAAAGAUCAGCAUUUUUCAAAAUUAUAAACUAUUAUGGAACAUUUUAAAGAAGCCUAAAAUAAAACUGUUGUUAAUUGCUUUGCUGACAGCGAGAUUUGGAUUUUCUGCAACCGAUGCUGCAUCGAAUUUUAAAUUAAUCGAUGCUGGGUUAUCCAAUGAUGAUAUUAUGUUAACAGUAACCGGCAUGUAUGUUGUACGAUUUAUUGUGCCAUUUUUCAUACCAAAAUCCAUUAUUGGUCCUAAAUGUAUAGAUCACUAUCUUAUAAUGACACCAAUCAAAUUGAUUUGGUGUAUUACGUAUAUGGUUUUGAUUUAUUACACACCGAGCUUAAUAAAUAAUAAUAAAAAUAUAAACAUUCCCGUUUAUUAUUAUUGCUUAUUAGCAUCGAUUUUUGCAGUGAAUGAGGUGCUGCAUUUUUUCAUGCUAGUAGCAUUAUUCGCUUUUUUUAGUCGAAUAAGCGAUCCAAGGUUUGGCUGUACAUACAUGGCAUUAUUUAAUACAUUUUACUUUCUGGGAUGGUUCAUACCAAAUACUUUGGUUCUAAAAUUGAAUGAUUUUCUAACAUUUAGUACAUGUUCAAACGACAUCCAAAACAAUUGUCUUACACCAAAUUUAAAAAACGUAUGUGCCACAAAUGGAGGAAGUUGUAAAGUGUACGUGGACGGCUACUAUAUAACAGUUAUCAUAUGUGUGAUCAUUGGAUUGAUAUGGUACUUUUUGUUUAGAAAUAAACUUAAAAAUUAUCAACCAAUAAGAGUUAAUACGUCAUAAAUCAUUUGACAAAAACAGCGAAUAAAAAAAAGCAUACUUAAACAAUAUUUUUAACAACUAUAAGUAUCAACUAUCAAGUAUAAUCUAUGAUAUUUUAAAAUUGAUUCAAUGAAAUUGUUUUAUUAAAAAUGUUUUUUUUUUUUUUUUGUAAUUUAUUUUUUGUUGUACAAUCUGUAAAAUAUUUUUUUUACAAUAAGUAUUUAUUGAGACAGUAGUCGUGAUCGAAGAAGCCAACCAGUGUUGGGAAAAUCAAGCUACAGGUUACAAUUGGCACAAGCGAUAAAUAUUUAGGAAUACAUAAAAUGUAUAAGGUACAUUUUAAAAUGUUGAGUAUGGUUAAUUAUGUUUUAAAUAGCUUGUAACAUCACCGACUGGUUACCUGAAUUAAGAAAACCAAAUUUAAAAAUGUCAUCUUAUCAAAAUAUUGUGUUCGAUAGUUGGGUUUUAACUAUGCUAAAAAAAUUUUGGCAUUCACUAUGUACAUUUUUACGCUUGGAUUUUUCUCUCGGAUAUGUGACUCUCGUUUUGGCGGUACAUACAUGACGAUGCACAAUUGCCAAUUUUGGAUUGGUUUUAACAAAUAGUUUGACAUUGCGAAUGGUUGACGUGUUAACGUUUAGUAAAUGUUCAAAUGACGAUUUUAAUAACUGUUCUACGAUAGAAUUGAAAAACAUGUGCAAAAAAAAAAAUGGAGAUUGUGUCAGUGUUGUAAAUGGUUACUACGUAGAAGUUGCAGU